Molecule: long non-coding RNA, 1069 nt
Filed under: Physcomitrium patens
Lineage: Eukaryota; Viridiplantae; Streptophyta; Bryopsida; Funariales; Funariaceae
Description: long non-coding RNA (PPAT_LNC009571)
Source: RNAcentral
UCUUAUAUUGAAGGCCAAAAGGCAGCGCAUGAAGAACCACAUGGCUCGGAAAGAUAGUCAUCCUGCAAUCACGAGAGCGAGAGAGAGAGAGAGAGCGAGCACGAGAACCUCCCGGUACGAUUGCAACAUUUGAAGCCCGACAAUGAAAAUGUUUUGUCUGGCUUAUAUCAAUAUGAUUUUAAAUUCUAUUAUUUUCUUGGUUCACCCAUUGUAAAUAUGUUCUUCUAAUUAAGGUAUUGUAUUACAUAAAUAUAUUGUUGACAUAUAUUGUAGUGCAUAAAUAUAUUGUUGACAUCAGAGCAAUCGCAAUGCCAACAAUAUAUUUAUGCACUACACAGCACUGCUAAUCAAGACCACCAGCACGCAGACAAGCUAAGCAAGGCAACAUUUAGAAUGUAGAAUGCCAGAAAGAUUCACCCUGUACAAAAGAUACAUGAGUUCCACAUCCACCAGUUCCCAUCAACUGGUAGUAAUUUUGAGAUUUCACAACUGGCACACAACCGAUUCACCUAACGUACAGGCUUUGCAAGGUAAUUAACAUUUUACGCCUCUGAAAGUCCACUACCGCAAACUCACGAGAUAAUCAUUUAGCGAUUUAUUGGUUAACUUCAUGCCCUGUAACACAUGCAGAGGAGCAAGAACACGUUUCGGAUGCAGUCCUUGAGCUUGCUGUGAAGAUGCAGAUAAACAAAUAAUAUUCUAGCACGGGAUCAAGGUUCAAGACAUCUCAAGCUUGCAUCUGCUCAAAGGUCUCAUCUUACUGAUCAGGGUCCGGUUCUGUACAUAGGUGACCCUUUACGAUGAAGGUAAUUUCUCGGGAUUCGACAAUCACAAGUUGUGAGAAACCAAGACAAUGAAACCUAAGCUGUUGAGGAACGCACUCCGUGUCCUUCGAAGAGUAACGACAACCUGGUCAGCUUUCAUUCCACAAUUUACCGCCGAGGUCACACCGCAAGACCGGCAGACUUCACGUCUGUCAAUACUCCAGCUAACUGACGAGCGAGAAAUAGACAGUUUUACUAAAAGCCAUUACACAUCUGCCCAUCUGCCCAUCUAUCCCUUCUUACAU